Molecule: ribosomal RNA, 250 nt
Filed under: uncultured prokaryote
Description: partial 16S ribosomal RNA
Rfam family: Bacterial small subunit ribosomal RNA
Source: RNAcentral
UACGGAGGAUGCGAGCGUUAUCCGGAUUCAUUGGGUUUAAAGGGUGCGCAGGCGGCCCGGUAAGUCAGCGGUGAAAGUCAGGGGCCCAACCCCGGAAGUGCCGUUGAUACUGUCGGGCUGGAAUGCGGUCGAGGCGGGCGGAAUGUGGUGUGUAGCGGUGAAAUGCAUAGAUAUGCCACAGAACGCCGAUAGCGAAGGCAGCUCGCCAGGCCUGCAUUGACGCUCGGGCACGAAAGCGUGGGGAUCAAAC